RNAcentral lists this ribosomal RNA (601 nucleotides) under uncultured bacterium. RNAcentral describes it as "bacterial SSU rRNA". It matches the Rfam family "Bacterial small subunit ribosomal RNA", at positions 741 to 1346 of the family's 1533-position model. The record is from RNAcentral.
UGACGCUGAGGCACGAAAGCGUGGGGAUCAAACAGGAUUAGAUACCCUGGUAGUCCACGCAGUAAACGAUGAUGACUAACCGUCGGUCCAUUCGGAUCGGUGGCCAAGCGAAAGCGAUAAGUCAUCCACCUGGGGAGUACGACCGCAAGGUUGAAACUCAAAGGAAUUGACGGGGGCCCGCACAAGCGGAGGAACAUGUGGUUUAAUUCGAUGAUACGCGAGGAACCUUACCCGGGCUCGAACGGUGCAGGAAGAGAUCAGGAGACUGUGACGCCCUACGGGGCCUGCAUCGAGGUGCUGCAUGGUUGUCGUCAGCUCGUGCCGUGAGGUGUCGGCUCAAGUGCCAUAACGAGCGCAACCCUUGCCGUCAGUUGCCAUCAGGUAGUGCUGGGGACUCUGACGGGACUGCCACCGCAAGGUGUGAGGAAGGGGGGGAUGACGUCAAAUCAGCACGGCCCUUACGUCCGGGGCGACACACGUGUUACAAUGGCGGCCACAGAGGGGGACAAACUGGUGACAGUGCGUAAAUCCCGAAAAGCCGCCUCAGUUCGGAUCGGAGUCUGCAACCCGACUCCGUGAAGCUGGAUCGCUAGUAAUCGCG